Molecule: ribosomal RNA, 844 nt
Filed under: Salmonella enterica subsp. enterica serovar Enteritidis
Lineage: Bacteria; Pseudomonadati; Pseudomonadota; Gammaproteobacteria; Enterobacterales; Enterobacteriaceae
Description: partial 23S ribosomal RNA
Rfam family: Bacterial large subunit ribosomal RNA
Source: RNAcentral
UGAAAUUGAACUCGCUGUGAAGAUGCAGUGUACCCGCGGCAAGACGGAAAGACCCCGUGAACCUUUACUAUAGCUUGACACUGAACAUUGAGCCUUGAUGUGUAGGAUAGGUGGGAGGCUUUGAAGUGUGGACGCCAGUCUGCAUGGAGCCGACCUUGAAAUACCACCCUUUAAUGUUUGAUGUUCUAACGUGGACCCGUUACCCGGGUUGCGGACAGUGUCUGGUGGGUAGUUUGACUGGGGCGGUCUCCUCCUAAAGAGUAACGGAGGAGCACGAAGGUUGGCUAAUCCUGGUCGGACAUCAGGAGGUUAGUGCAAUGGCAUAAGCCAGCUUGACUGCGAGCGUGACGGCGCGAGCAGGUGCGAAAGCAGGUCAUAGUGAUCCGGUGGUUCUGAAUGGAAGGGCCAUCGCUCAACGGAUAAAAGGUACUCCGGGGAUAACAGGCUGAUACCGCCCAAGAGUUCAUAUCGACGGCGGUGUUUGGCACCUCGAUGUCGGCUCAUCACAUCCUGGGGCUGAAGUAGGUCCCAAGGGUAUGGCUGUUCGCCAUUUAAAGUGGUACGCGAGCUGGGUUUAGAACGUCGUGAGACAGUUCGGUCCCUAUCUGCCGUGGGCGCUGGAGAACUGAGGGGGGCUGCUCCUAGUACGAGAGGACCGGAGUGGACGCAUCACUGGUGUUCGGGUUGUCAUGCCAAUGGCACUGCCCGGUAGCUAAAUGCGGAAGAGAUAAGUGCUGAAAGCAUCUAAGCACGAAACUUGCCCCGAGAUGAGUUCUCCCUGAGACUUAGAGUCUCCUGAAGGAACGUUGAAGACGACGACGUUGAUAGGCCGGGUGUGUAAGCG